Molecule: non-coding RNA, 88 nt
Filed under: human gut metagenome
Description: TPP riboswitch (THI element)
Rfam family: TPP riboswitch aptamer (THI element)
About the family: Vitamin B(1) in its active form thiamin pyrophosphate (TPP) is an essential coenzyme that is synthesised by coupling of pyrimidine and thiazole moieties in bacteria. The previously detected thiamin-regulatory element, thi box was extended, resulting in a new, highly conserved RNA secondary structure, the THI element, which is widely distributed in eubacteria and also occurs in some archaea. Analysis of operon structures identified a large number of new candidate thiamin-regulated genes, mostly transporters, in various prokaryotic organisms.
Source: RNAcentral
ACAGGGGAGCGGCGAGUGCCGCUGAGAGUGCGAAACAGAUCGCAGACCCUCGAACCUGAUCCGGGUCAUGCCGGCGAAGGGAGUCGAG